RNAcentral lists this ribosomal RNA (497 nucleotides) under uncultured bacterium. RNAcentral describes it as "partial 16S ribosomal RNA". It matches the Rfam family "Bacterial small subunit ribosomal RNA", at positions 28 to 507 of the family's 1533-position model. The record is from RNAcentral.
GAUGAACGCUGGCGGCGUGCCUAAUACAUGCAAGUCGAGCGAACAGACGAGGAGCUUGCUCCUCUGACGUUAGCGGCGGACGGGUGAGUAACACGUGGAUAACCUACCUAUAAGACUGGGAUAACUUCGGGAAACCGGAGCUAAUACCGGAUAAUAUAUUGAACCGCAUGGUUCAAUAGUGAAAGACGGUUUUGCUGUCACUUAUAGAUGGAUCCGCGCCGCAUUAGCUAGUUGGUAAGGUAACGGCUUACCAAGGCGACGAUGCGUAGCCGACCUGAGAGGGUGAUCGGCCACACUGGAACUGAGACACGGUCCAGACUCCUACGGGAGGAAGCAGUAGGGAAUCUUCCGCAAUGGGCGAAAGCCUGACGGAGCAAAGCCGCGUGAGUGAUGAAGGUCUUCGGAUCGUAAAACUCUGUUAUUAGGGAAGAACAAAUGUGUAAGUAACUAUGCACGUCUUGACGGUACCUAAUCAGAAAGCCACGGCUAACUACGUG